AAGUCGUAACAAGGUUUCCGUAGGUGAACCUGCGGAAGGAUCAUUAUCGAGUUAGGGUCCCUCGUGGCCCGAACCUCCAACCCUUGUGUUUAACUAUACCACGUUGCUUCGGCGGGCCCGUCUCCCCCUCCCCGGGGGCGACCGCCGGACGUUCUGCGUCUGGCCCGUUGCCCGUCGAUAGCCCAACUUCAAACUCUUGAUGAAACCUGUCGUCUGAGUAUACAAAUAAAUAAAGCACAAAACUUUCAACAACGGAUCUCUUGGUUCUGGCAUCGAUGAAGAACGCAGCGAAAUGCGAUAAGUAAUGCGAAUUGCAGAAUUUCCGUGAGUCAUCGAAUCUUUGAACGCACAUUGCGCCCAUUGGUAUUCCGAUGGGCAUGCCUGUUCGAGCGUCAUUAUCAACCCUCAAGCCCGGCUUGGUGUUGGACGUCUUAGGUCGUGGGGUUUCCCCGCGACCCGUCCCAAAGACAAUGACGGCGUCUGUUUGGACCCUCGGUGCAAUGAGUUUCUCACCGAAGCACGCACUCGAGUCUUAGGACCAGACAGCCCGGUCUCCCAGUUUUAUUAAACUACUACAAGGUUGACCUCGGAUCAGGUAGGGAUACCCGCUGAACUUAA
RNAcentral lists this ribosomal RNA (618 nucleotides) under uncultured fungus. RNAcentral's name for it is "eukaryotic LSU rRNA". The stretch from base 241 to 395 matches the Rfam family "5.8S ribosomal RNA". Lineage: Eukaryota; Fungi. The record is from RNAcentral.